Molecule: ribosomal RNA, 520 nt
Filed under: uncultured Glomeromycotina
Lineage: Eukaryota; Fungi; Glomeromycota
Description: SSU rRNA
Rfam family: Eukaryotic small subunit ribosomal RNA
Source: RNAcentral
AGCAGCCGCGGUAAUUCCAGCUCCAAUAGCGUAUAUUAAAGUUGUUGCAGUUAAAAAGCUCGUAGUUGAAUUUCGGGGUUAGUAGAUUGGUCAUGCCUCUGGUAUGCACUGGUCUUACUGAUUCCUCCUUCCUGAUGAACCGUAAUGCCAUUAAUUUGGUGUUGCGGGGAAACUGGACUGUUACUUUGAAAAAUUAGAGUGUUUAAAGCAGGCUAACGCUUGAAUAUAUUAGCAUGGAAUAAUGAAAUAGGACGUUCGAUCUUAUUUUGUUGGUUUCUAGGAUUGACGUAAUGAUUAAUAGGGAUAGUUGGGGGCAUUAGUAUUCAAUUGUCAGAGGUGAAAUUCUUGGAUUUAUUGAAGACUAACUACUGCGAAAGCAUUUGCCAAGGAUGUUUUCAUUAAUCAAGAACGAAAGUUAGGGGACCGAAGACGAUCAGAUACCGUCGUAGUCUUAACCCAUAAACUAUGCCGACUAGGGAUCGGAUGAUGUUAAUUUUUAAUGACUCAUUCGGCGCCUUAC